This is a long non-coding RNA of Saccostrea echinata, 849 nucleotides long. RefSeq lists it as uncharacterized. NCBI's taxonomy places the organism in Eukaryota, Metazoa, Mollusca, Bivalvia, Ostreida, Ostreidae. The transcript has 3 exons. The record is from RefSeq and is a predicted model, not a curated record.
UCUUUUUAGAAAAAACAUAUGAUUUGGAAAAGAGACCACCAAUCCACUGGGGGGGUAUCGCAUGAAAGCAAUGGUAUUACAGAAUAUUGUAAAGCUGGAUGAGUUAUAGUGAAACAGGUUUAUGUCUGCUCAUCUGGCAAUCUUAGGACAUCACUGGAUGGUUUUGUUUAAGAAGAUUACAGAGUUAACACACACUUCCAGCAUGAAGACCAGCCAGUUGCCUCACCUGUCUUGACAUUGUUAAAGUACUUUGAGACAGUGAAAAGACAUGGCUCUAAAUUACUGCAUCAGAGAUCUAUCCAGGUUAUAAAUCUGAGGAAAACAAUAAAGCAUCAUUUGAAGCUACUUAUAUCACUGCCUUAAGGAGUUGUCUGCAUGUGUAACGAACAAAGGACAGUGACCAGUUGUACCUAUGAUAUCAGACAGGGCAUCCUUAAAAACUUCAGCCGAACUCAUCACUUAGAAUAGAAAACUUCAUAAUUUUAUAACUUUUGUAUCAAUCCUUUUGCACUUCAUCUGACUUGGAAUUUCAGUAGCCUUUACAUGUAGCAUCCUUCAAGCAUUUCAUGAAGUACCAAUUUGCAGGUGUCAAAUGUUUGUCCCAAACGAAACAACAAAAAAUAAAUUCUCUGGCAGUUAGCAUUGUCAUGAGCAGUGAUUGAUGUCACAGUUCCACCGGCAUAGUAUUUGUAGUUGAAUGGUGCCAUUUUUAAGAAAACUUUUCACAAAAACCUGGAAAACAUCAGAUGGAAAGGAGCAUCUACAAGAAAAACGGUGAACACUUUCUUGAAUAUUAACAAUGAUAUGCCAUGCCCCAUUUACAUCCUUUAUAUAAACUAAUUAACCAAA